RNAcentral lists this ribosomal RNA (253 nucleotides) under uncultured bacterium. Its description in RNAcentral is "partial 16S ribosomal RNA". It matches the Rfam family "Bacterial small subunit ribosomal RNA", at positions 524 to 776 of the family's 1533-position model. The record is from RNAcentral.
UACGUAGGAGGCAAGCGUUGUCCGGAAUUACUGGGCGUAAAGCGCGUGUAGGUGGUGGGACAAGUCUGCUGUGAAAGCGCCUGGCUUAACCGGGCGAGGUCGGCGGAAACUGCAGAGCUUGAGUACUUAAGAGGAUCGCGGAAUUCCCGGUGUAGAGGUGAAAUGCGCAGAUAUCAGGAGGAACACCGGUGGCGAAGGCGGCGACCUGGUCCUUGACUGACGCUGAGGCGCGAAAGCGUGGGGAGCAAACAGG